Molecule: ribosomal RNA, 335 nt
Filed under: uncultured bacterium
Lineage: Bacteria
Description: bacterial SSU rRNA
Rfam family: Bacterial small subunit ribosomal RNA
Source: RNAcentral
AGGGUUCGAUUAUGGCUCAGGAUGAACGCUAGCUACAGGCUUAACACAUGCAAGUCGAGGGGCAGCAUGUCGGUUGCUUGCAACCGACGAUGGCGACCGGCGCACGGGUGAGUAACACGUAUCCAACCUUCCGUUUACUCAGGGAUAGCCUUUCGAAAGAAAGAUUAAUACCUGAUAGUAUGGUGAGAUUGCAUGAUAGCACCAUUAAAGAUUUAUUGGUAAACGAUGGGGAUGCGUUCCAUUAGGUAGUAGGCGGGGUAACGGCCCACCUAGCCGACGAUGGAUAGGGGUUCUGAGAGGAAGGUCCCCCACAUUGGAACUGAGACACGGUCCAA